Molecule: ribosomal RNA, 497 nt
Filed under: uncultured bacterium
Lineage: Bacteria
Description: partial 16S ribosomal RNA
Rfam family: Bacterial small subunit ribosomal RNA
Source: RNAcentral
GAUGAACGCUGGCGGCGUGCCUAAUACAUGCAAGUCGAGCGAACAGACGAGGAGCUUGCUCCUUUGACGUUAGCGGCGGACGGGUGAGUAACACGUGGAUAACCUACCUAUAAGACUGGGAUAACUUCGGGAAACCGGAGCUAAUACCGGACAACAUGUUGAACCGCAUGGUUCAACAGUGAAAGACGGUUUUGCUGUCACUUAUAGAUGGAUCCGCGCCGCAUUAGCUAGUUGGUAAGGUAACGGCUUACCAAGGCAACGAUGCGUAGCCGACCUGAGAGGGUGAUCGGCCACACUGGAACUGAGACACGGUCCAGACUCCUACGGGAGGCAGCAGUAGGGAAUCUUCCGCAAAGGGCGAAAGCCUGACGGAGCAACGCCGCGUGAGUGAAGAAGGUCUUCGGAUCGUAAAACUCUGUUAUUAGGGAAGAACAAAUGUGUAAGUAACUAUGCACGUCUUGACGGUACCUAAUCAGAAAGCCACGGCUAACUACGUG